RNAcentral lists this ribosomal RNA (484 nucleotides) under uncultured bacterium. Its description in RNAcentral is "partial 16S ribosomal RNA". It matches the Rfam family "Bacterial small subunit ribosomal RNA", at positions 28 to 507 of the family's 1533-position model. The record is from RNAcentral.
GUUGAACGCUGGCGGCGGGCCUAACACAUGCAAGUCGAGCGGAUGAAGGGAGCUUUCGCCGGGAUUCAGCGGCGGACGGGUGAGUAAUGCCUAGGAAUCUGCCUGGUAGGGGGGGAUAACGUCCGGAGACGGGCGCUAAUACCGCAUACGUGGUGAGGGAGAAGGUGGGGGAGGUUCGGACAUCACGCUAUGAGAUGAGCCUAGGUCGGGUUAGCUAGUUGGUGGGGUAAGCACCUACCAAGCAGACGAUCGGUAACUGGUCUGAGAGAAGGGUCGCUCGCAUUAGAACGGAAACACGGACCAUACUACUACGGUAGGCCGCAGUGGCGAAUAGGAGACAACAGGCGAAAGCCUGACACAGCGAGGCCGCGUGUGUGGAGAAGGUCUUCGGAGUGGAAAGCACGUCAACUGGGUAGGAAGGGCAUUAAGCUAAUACCUUGCUGGUUUGACGGUACCAACAGAAUAAGCACCGGCUAACUUCGUG